Molecule: ribosomal RNA, 253 nt
Filed under: uncultured bacterium
Lineage: Bacteria
Description: partial 16S ribosomal RNA
Rfam family: Bacterial small subunit ribosomal RNA
Source: RNAcentral
UACAGAGGGGGCAAGCGUUGUUCGGAAUUACUGGGCGUAAAGCGUGCGCAGGCGGUUUUGUAAGCCAGAUGUGAAAUCCCCGGGCUUAACCUGGGAAUGGCAUUUGGGACUGCAAGGCUGGAGUUUGGCAGAGGAGACUGGAAUUCCCGGUGUAGCAGUGAAAUGCGUAGAUAUCGGGAGGAAUACCGAUGGCGAAGGCAGGUCUCUGGGCUAUAGCUGACGCUCAUGCACGAAAGCGUGGGGAGCAAACAGG